Molecule: long non-coding RNA, 753 nt
Organism: Oryza sativa Japonica Group (Japanese rice)
Lineage: Eukaryota; Viridiplantae; Streptophyta; Magnoliopsida; Poales; Poaceae
Source: RefSeq, a predicted model, not a curated record
CUAAUUGUUCCAAUCAACGAUCAUGAUAGUUAAUUUGAAUUUAAUGGAGUACUAUAGUUUGAAAUGAUACUAUACCGUUGCAUUCAGUCUUGUAGUAGUUGUUAUGUUCUGUAUAUAACAUCAUAAUAUGCAGGUUCACAGAUAUAUGUUCAUGACACUUAGAUUUGUGAUUUUUUUUUUUGUAUUUAAGCAGGAUAACUUAUAUUGUGUUGGAUUCCAAAAUGGUGGAUUACAAUCAAAGGAUGGGAAGGGUAUGGUGCUUUUGGGAGAUCUGGUCCUUUCAAAUAAGUUAGUUGUCUAUGACCUGGAAAAUCAAGUCAUUGGCUGGACUGAGUACAACUGUUCCUCUAGCAUUAAAAUUAAGGAUGAACAGACAGGGGCAACAUACACUGUUGACGCUCACAACAUCUCCUCAGGAUGGAGGUUUCAUUGGCAGAAGCAUUUGGCUGUGUUGCUGGUAACAAUGGUGUACAGCUAUCUAAUAUUCUAACUCCGGUGUAUGACACGGACUCUAGUGGAAAUUCAUUUGAUUUAAAUUCUUUUCACCAAAGAGGGAAAAAGGGUAGGGGUGUUUAGAUGGUGUUCUCUGACCACUCGAGAGAACUGAAAAGGAAACAUUGUACGCUACACAAUGUACCCGAGUGUGUAGUGUAAUGUAAUGUAAUGAUGUGGUGACUGGUGAGAAAAUACUAUGGCUGAAUGUGCUUUUGGGAGGUUCUAGGAAUGAUAUCAGGCCCCCAUCUUUUGAAUAUA